Felis catus (domestic cat) is the source of this 7524-nucleotide long non-coding RNA. RefSeq lists it as uncharacterized. The record is from RefSeq and is a predicted model, not a curated record. The transcript has 3 exons. Lineage: Eukaryota; Metazoa; Chordata; Mammalia; Carnivora; Felidae.
GACUCUCUCUCUCCCCUUCCCUCUUUCUCUCUCAAAAUAAAUAAAUAAGCUUAAAAAAAAGUAUUAUCUUUUUAAAAGGUAAUCAUUAUGCAUUUCAUCACAUUAUAAUCCAGUUCUAAUUAUGGCCCUAGUUCACCAUUACUUCUCCCUAGGGAAAUCUAUCAGUCCCAUAUGCUUGUAGUCUGUGCCACGCAGACAGUACUGGGGUUUUCCAUGCAUACAUUUUGAGAGCACAGACUACCAUUACUUACUAAUUUACAAGCCUAAGAUAAAUAAAGCAUAGAAAGCAGUAAUUCAAACUUACCCACAGUAAUAGCAAAGUCACAUUUAGGGUCAAGUCUAGCUAUAUCUAGCAUCUGACCAACAUCUGGCUUGUGUUAUUGAGAGAUCAACUGUACUCUCUAAAGAACAACAUUUGAUGGACACUAUCUUAAGGCAGUCUGCAAACACUCCAGUUUAUGUUUAUUUAAGCAAUGUACAUAGCCCAUCUUUUUCUUAGAAGAGUCAAAACUUUUGUGAAAGACUGAAUUACAAAAGGCUAAUGCACUCCACACUCGUAUGAAAGAAUUUCAUUUCCGAUUGUAAAUUUUGGUGCCUCAUUUGUUUCAUCAAAUCAUCCAGAAUGUCAGUUUAUGGGCAGAUAGAAACUGCAGCUGCCUCUGAGCCAUUCAAAUUUCUCAUCUCCUUCCACUAUCAAAGCUAGGGUGGAAAUACUCAAUUUCUCAACCCUCCCUGGGUGGGACAUCACAUCAACCCAGGACUAGUGGUCUCUGGAUCAAAACUUAUAUUUUGGAAAAAUGGAAUUUUAAAAGAUUGUGGAGAUGCCCUGGAUUCCAGUGAAAUUGUAACUCUAUUUAUUAUGGAACAAAAUAUAUGGGGUUUUAGUCUCUGAGGAUUAAAGUAAGCAAGAAAAAGGUUGUAUUUUCUUUGGGUAGUCAAUAUAGCAAUUUUUUAAAACAAAAUCAUUUCAUAUCUGUUUUUAAAAUCUCAUUUAGUUUUAGUUUGAAACCGUUGUUCAAAAGGUAAUCAUCUGUGAUAAGAGACACAAGCUGUUUCAGAAAGUGCCUGCAUCAGAAAGCAAGCUGUUAAGAGUUGCAGGCUGUUAAAUUCACUCCUCAGGACAGCAGAUGAAAAGUGCUAUUGCACUUCAAGUUUCGUUUAUUUCAGAGGCUUCCUGAGGAAUCAGAAAUCCGAGGCUUGGAUAGAUUAGGCCUUUUUUUUAGAAAACAGCAGGAAAAUCUCAAGGAACUCUCUAACGAGGUCCUAGGAAUGAAUAAUUGUAGGUCCCCAAAUUCAUGUUACAAUCUAACCCCCGAUGUAAUGGUACUAGGAGGCGGGGACUUUGGAAAGUGAUGAGGUCAUGAGGAUGGAACCUAUGAAUGGAAUGAGUUCCCUUAUAAGGGGCUGAGGAGACAACGAUUCUCCCCUACUACCCGGUGAGGACGCCUAGAAAAUACAGCCAGUGAAGAACCUGUUAUGGAACCAGGCUGGAUCGCUGACAGAAGAACCGGCACUCAGAGAUCUUGGAGGAUCGGAGGUUUAUUUACAUCGACGGGCUCAGGGGAACCGGUCUCUCCAAAGAUCUGACUGCCCGAGCGCAAGCCUGAGGGACAAUUUAUAGUCCACUACUUCCGCAUUAGAGGCAAUCUGGCGCGCCAGGGAAGUGGGGCAGGAAGAAGAACCCGGAAGGGGAGUCUUCCGGCGGGGACCGGAAUUCCCUAUCAUUCCUGUCGGCCAUCUUAGAACAUAAUUUUUCCCUACCAAGGUCAGGGUUGGUUUUUUUUCUCUCCCGGUCGAACCAGGGAGUGGGCUCUCACUAGGCCCUGAAUCUGCUGGCACCCUGAUCUCUGGCUUCCCGGUUUCCAGAACAGCCAACACUGAAUGAACUCAGAUCAAGAUUGUCAGGGCAGUUUGCAAGCUCUAAUCUGAAGGCAGUUGUCCCUACUUCCUUAUUGUCACAGAGAAGAAGUGAUUAGGCUAUCAUAAGGGGGACUCUGCAAACAAAGCCGAUUAAGUAUCUCUUGGAUACAAUGUCACAGACACUUAAGCCUUGAACAGGUGAAAUUUGUCAAGUAAGCAAUCCCCUGAUGGUUUGUCCAGUGAAAAAGAAUUGUUUUGUCUUGUUGAUGUUGUUUCAGAGUACACUUUGCUGGAGUGAACAAUUCCUCAUUCUCGAUUCACAUAGUUUCUUAUUAAACAAAUGAAAUCAUAGAAUCAUUGGUCCUGGCUCAGAAAUCACUAAAAAUAUCUGAGGCUCUUUUCAAAUCAUGAAACUAGAAAUUCAUUUAUACAUUUUUAAAUCAAAUAUCAAUUACUGAUGGAAUGCCUACUUGUACCAAGCACGUCUUAAGGAUAGGAAUUUAGCAGAUGGAAAACCAAAACCAAAAACCAGGUCUCCAUCCUCACUUUUUAAAAAUUUCAGGAUGUGAUUAAGCCACGGCAACUAUAUCCAUUCUGAUUAAUAUCCAACUUGUUCUCUACAUCUCCACUUAGAUCUCUCAUGGGCAUCUCAAACCUACCACACCCAACACUGAAUUCUUGAUUUCUCCCUCCUAACUUUGGCCCUGGCAUAGACUUCUUCAUCUCCAUAUAAUGAUUGAGAGAAGACUUACUUGAUGGGCCAGAGCAACAUUGGCUGUGGAGCUGGAGUUUAUCUGGAAAUGUUUCAACCAAGCCGUUAAGUUGAAGGAAGCAUACAAGCAAGGCCACUGCCAAGCUCUGAAGAAACAUAAAACUUUCAGUGUGAAUUUGUGAAAAUAUCUGAAGCUGCACAAACCAGGCAGGCUCUGAGCUGGGAGAAAGGAAGCCUGCAUCCUAAGAUAAUCUCUGCUCUUCCAGCAACUAACUGUGUGAUCUUGACUGGACCCUUGCCUUUAUCACGGGUCAAACUCUUUAUCUCCUUGUCUCUGAAAUAUUGCAUGGGAUCAGAAUUCCGGUAGGCCAGAGAUGCGGUUUAUUUGAUUCACACAGGGCUCUUCCUCUCUCCCUCCCUGCCUCCCUUUCUUCUUGCUUUUAGUCAAAGAUUCUGGAGCAUUUAAAAACUCCUCAUAACGACAAGGAGAUACCUCUACUCACCUGCCAGAAUAGCCAAGAUCCAGGACACUGAAAACACCAAAUGCUGGUGAGAAUGUGGAGUAACAGGAACUGUCACUCAUUGCUUGUAGGAGUGCAAAAUUGUACAGCCGAUUUGGAAGACAGCUUGGUGGUUUCUUAGAAAAGCUAAUAUACUCUUACCAUACCACCCAGCAGUUGGGCUCCUUGGUAUGUACUCAAAAGAGUUGAUGACUGAUACCCACACAAAAGCCUGGACACAGAUGUUUAAGCAGCUUCAUUUAUGACUGCUUAAAUUUGGAAGCAACCAAGAUGUCCUUCGGUGGGUGAAUGGAUAAAUAAACUGCGGUACAUCUAGACAACAGAAUAUUUUUCAGUGCUAAAAAGAAAAUGAGCUAUGAAGCAAUAAAAAGAAAUGGAUGAACCUUAAAUACAUAUUACUGAAUGAAAGCAGCUAAUCUGAAAAGGCUACCUACUGUGCGGUUAUGGACUCAUAUGACAUUCUGGAAAAGGCACAACUAUAGAGACGAUAAAAAGAUCAGUGGUUGUCAGGAUUGGAGGGAGGGAACAAUAGGUCAUACAUUUGUCCAGACCCAUAGAAUGUACAACACCAAGAGUUAACCUCGGUGUAAACUAUCCACUCUGGGGAAUAAUGAUGAGUUAAUGUAGGUUUAUCAGUUGUAACAAAUGUAGCACUCUGGUGGGCAAUGUUGAUCCUGGGGGAGGCUAGGCAUGUGUGGGGGAAGAAAAUAUACAGGAACUCUGUACUUUCCACUCUGUUUCUGCUUAGCUUUCAUUUAUCUAAGAUUGCUACAAAAAGUAAAGGUUAUUAAUGAAAACAUUUUUGGUGGCCAGGGCACCUGGUGGCUCAGUCGGUUAAGCGUCUGACUUUGGCUUAGGUCAUGAUCUCGCAGUUCGUGAGUUCAAGUCCUCCAUCGGGCUCUCUGCUGUCAGCUCGGACCCCACUUAGGAUCUGUCUCCCUCUCUCUCUGCCCCUCCCUUGCUUGCUCUCUCUUCCCCUCUCUCUCAAAAAUAAAUAAACAUCAAAAAAAAAUGUUGGUGGGUAUUUGGAAUUGAGAAGCCAUGUGGCCCAUUGGAAAUAACAUGGCAUUCGGGAUCAGACAAACAUUAUUUGAAACUAUACAUACGUGGGAGUAUAUGGGAAAUCUCUGUACCUUCUGUUCAAUUUGUUGUGAACAUAAAACUGCUCUAAAAACAGUCUAUUAAAAAUAAAUAUAAAAAGUAAAUAUGAAAAGAAAACUAGGUUAUUUAUUUAUUUUUGAGAGAGAGAGAGAGAGAGAGAGAGAGAGCGAGCACGCACUGGAGGGGCAGAGAGAAAGAGAAAAGUAGGUUAUUUACAUGUAAAUCUGUGUUUCCAAUUUCUUAUGCGAAAUAGAAGAUCUGGCAAUGCAGAGCCUGGGUUCUCGCAUGGCUAAACCAUCCCUUUUACGCGGGCACACCUUUGCUGAUCACCACACUACCCCCCUGGGCCCCCUUCAUACAUUAAUGUCUCUGACCUCACUACAUACUCGGGUUUGUGACCUAAGGGAUUUCAGGUUUGUGAUCUCUCUGAUGCUUUCCUUUCAUCUCAGAAAGUCUGUAAUUCUCAAGGGCAAACCAAUAAUUACAUCUUAUUUAUAUCACCACUUCAGCAGCCUGGCGAAUAAGCUGGAAAACCUUAGUACAAGACCAGACUUAACUAGCAUAACCAGAGAUAUUUUCUCCUCCAGAUUUUCCUUGUAGGUGGCAGAUUUUCUAUAUCAUGUAUCUUUCCACAUGUUCCUUUGAACACAGUGAGUUUCUCUUUAGCCGCCACAUCCUCAUAACCAGAUGAUGCAUUUUAAAAAAAAAUCGGUCUCCUGUAUUACUGAAGAUGAAACAUUUUCUGUUAACUUUGUUUCUUUUUUUUUUAAUGUUUAUUUAUUUAUUUUGAGAGAGAGAGAGUGAGAGUGUGAGCAUAUGGGCAUGUGCAUCACAGUGCAUGCACAGGAGGGGCACAGACAGAAUCCCAAGCAGGUUCCGCACUGUCAGCAUAGAGCAUGACACAGGGUUUGAUCUCGGGAACAAUGUGAUCAUGACCCGAGUUGAAAUCAAGAGUCAGACCCUUAACUGACGGACCACCCAGGUGCCCCUCUGUUAACUUUUUUCAAAUGCCACUUAUAAAAGGAAUCUGCAUGACCAUGAUAUAAAGUUGCUUUCUGGAAGCAGGAUUAGUUUAGGAUCAUGAAUCUCAUGGGAACUUUUAAAAUAAAUGUGUUUGAGGCUCAAAUCUUCUAACUGGCUUUUCUUUGUUUCUAAUUGUAAUAUUUUGAAGCAUUGUGAAAACUGUCCAUUUCUCCUUCUAGGAUACAUGACUAUUUUCAGUGUUCCUCUUUGUUAUUAUGCAAUACUUACCUUGUGACAUCUGACUACAAUCGAUAUCCCCUCCCCUGUAUCAUUCAGUCCUUUGCUGAUCUUUGAAAUAGAUGUGUCUUUUUCAAAGCUAACAGGCCUGAAUUUUACUAUUAUUUCUAAUUUACUGCUUUGUUUCCUUCUCUGGCAUUGUGCUGUCUUCCUGAACAAAAUUCUUGAUUAUAGUUGAUUCAUCCUCAUUAUUGUUCUGACAUCAAGAACGGUCUUUAAUAACAAAUUUAUAUUGAAAUUGGUUACUUUUCUGAUGGGGUUUGGAGUUUAUCCAUAAGAGCCAGAUCUUUAAGAUUUUGAAAAGCUAUUUUCUCAUGCUUAUUCCUUUUCUUUUGAACAAAACUGAGUCUCAUUUUAUUCUCAUUUAUUUAUGCUAUAACUGAUUUUAACUUUCUACUUGUGGAAAGUCAGUUCUAAAUUUAACCAGUCUGACCCCUGACAAGUCCCACUCUGCUUAAGCAUUUUCUUAGGGAGACUCAGUUUAAGGGUCUCUUCCAGGCCAGCGUGAUGAGUUUUCUGCCAGCUCAUGUAAAUUGUUCCAUCCCCAAACAAAAGCAUCAACUAAAUUACUUUUUACAUCAGGUACUUACUAAGGGACAACAGGUAUUUGGGUGUUAAAAACAAAGAGGAAAGUGUCAUUAAGUAUAAUCUUUUCGGGAUGUUGGGUGGUUCAGUCAGUUAAGCGUCCGACCUCGGCUCAGGUCAUGAUCUCAUGGUUUGUGAGUUCGAGCCCCGCGUCGGGUUCUGUGCUGACAGCUUGGAGCCUGGAGGCUGCUUCAGAUUCUGUGUCUUCCUCUCUCUCUGCCCCUCCCCUCCUUAUGCUCUGUCUCUCCCAUUCUCUCUCAAAAAUAAGUGAACAUAAAAAAAGCAUAAUCUUUUCAUUGUCUUUCUCCUAGUGUACAUUAAUUUUAGGGGGCAGGCAUUCUUUUCCUUGGGACAAGUACUGAUUUCCAUAGCUGUGGAAAGUGAUGCCCUCUUGCCGUGGCUCAGGGACGCAGAGUUACCUUUUCAUGUCUCGGAGAGAUAAGCAGGGUAGAUUUGGAUCCCUGAGCAGCAUCUAAUCAGGGACAAUGUAAUGUCAUGCAAAGCAAUCUUGGUCUGUGACUCAGGAUCAGGCUUUCCAUAUUGCUCCCACAAAAGACUAUAGCCGUCAGAAGAAAACUAAUUUUUCAUAAGCUUGUCUCCCCUAAGCAGAAGACAUGAUUUUUCAUUGCCUCAUUUCCUGAUAAGGUACAAGUCUACUUACAUUGGCUGAAAGCUUUACUUCAUGGUAGGAGAUACUCCCAAUAAAUCUUAAUAGGUCUUCUAACCAGUACAAAGAUUUCUGAUUUGUAGACUAUUUUAUGAGAAAAAAUAUGUAUAGACGAUUUUACUAAUUUAGGAAGGCAAUAUUAGGAAGUGGUAUGAGCUCAGGCUCUGGAAUCGGACACCUUUGAUUUAAAUAUUGGCUUUAUCUUUGGUUCUAAUAUGAGUAUGCCCACUUAGUACAUGUGUAGUCUUGAAUAAGGAACCUGUCCUUUGUAGACCUCAGUUUCCAAACUUGUAAAAUGUGCAUAAUAAUACAUUCAUACUUCAUAGGUUUGCUGUAGUGAUUAAAUGUGCCAAUUCAUGUGAAGGCCUUAGAACAGUGUCUUAGCAUUAAUUAAAUACUAACUCUUGUUAUAUCAAACCGCUUGAUGGUCAGGCUUGCAUUUCCUUUCUGUUUGAUAGUGUCCUUUCAGAUCAUUAAUACCCACUAAUAUUUUGAAUUUAUCUAUGGGGAGUGCUGCAAGUAACAUACUCUGUUCUCUUUUGCCUCAGAAGACGUGCUCGGCUCCUUUCUGUGACUGGAGUGUAAUUAAAUAAUUGGGCUCUUUACCUCUACCUUCCCCAUCUUUGCUUGUAACUAGUGUUCGACUUACCUAAACAUAUUACGUGUUGAGGAGGAUGUAUAUGGCAUAAAUAGUCCUUGGGACCAAGGUGAUUUGAGAUUUUUAAGCUUAAGGGAGCCUUUGUAGAGUGAGUGGCUGAAGCUUCAUAUCCUGGCACAAGAAGACCAGUAAAAAAAAAAAAAAAAAAAAAAAAAAAAGA